ACAGAUAAACAGAUCUCAAAUUUCAAUUUCGAAGGUCCGAAAAGUUAGGUCAUUAUUGAGAAUGAUCUGCGACUUUUGUUAUGAAAUUAUAAGGUUUUAUCAUGUUAAGUAUGGUAAUUGUGAAAUUAUGAGUUUUUACUAUGUUAGGUGUGGUAAUUGUUAGUGAAAUGAGUUAGGUGUGCUUGAAUAGAUUAAGUUAGGUUUAUAUUUGGUUAGUGGAACAAAUGUGUGACCAUGAUAUAAUCGGCUUUGUUUAUCUGUGUGGUGUGGAUUGAUCAUGGACUAGUAUAAGUUAAGAGGGAACACACUUUUCUUCACUUUUUUCUCUCCAAAUUCUUCUCUUCCUCACUCUAUCUUAAUUAUGCUUUAAUAUUUUGUAAUAUAUUUUCAAUAAAUAAAUUUAUUUU
Molecule: long non-coding RNA, 407 nt
Filed under: Citrus x clementina
Lineage: Eukaryota; Viridiplantae; Streptophyta; Magnoliopsida; Sapindales; Rutaceae
Description: Citrus clementina (C. clementina) long non-coding RNA (CCLE_LNC003341)
Source: RNAcentral